AUACGGAGGGUGCAAGCGUUAUUCGGAAUCACUGGGCGUAAAGGACGCGUAGGCGGGAAGCCAAGUCUGAUGUGAAAUCCUAUGGCUUAACCAUAGAACUGCAUUGGAAACUGGUUACCUAGAGUAUGGGAGGGGGAGAUGGAAUUAGUGGUGUAGGGGUAAAAUUCGUAGAUAUCACUAGGAAUACCGAAAGCGAAGGCGAUCUCCUGGAACAAUACUGACGCUAAGGCGUGAAAGCGUGGGGAGCAAACGGGAUUAGAAACCCUAGUAGUCC
This 274-nucleotide ribosomal RNA is filed under the name uncultured bacterium. RNAcentral describes it as "partial 16S ribosomal RNA". It matches the Rfam family "Bacterial small subunit ribosomal RNA", at positions 523 to 796 of the family's 1533-position model. The record is from RNAcentral.